UACCCCACGCAACCCAGACUACAAAACAAAUAUUGACACACUCCUGGCAUCUUAUGUAAAUGACACAUGACAAUAAACUUGAUUGAAGAGGCAACUUUUACACACUGCCUUGUGGAGGAUAUUUAGGGAGAAGAUUCCAGAGCUUAAGGCCCUGACAGCUGAAGGCACAGACACCAACUUCGGUACAAUUAAAAUAGGGGAUGCACAAGGAAAGAGAAUUGGAGGAGCACAGCAAUGUCAGAAGAAUGCUGGGUAGAGCUCACAGAGAUGGGGGAGGGAAGUGAACCCAUGGGGGUAUUUGAAAAUAAGAUGAGAUUUUAAAGGAAGGAUGCACAUUUUUUCUACAUUCAUUAUAUUCCUUUUCUUCACAGAAUUGAUAAUGUACCAGAAGGGACAGACUAGUGUUGCCCCACUUUAUGAGAUCCAGCUCUGCUUUGGUGAGGAAUGGCCAGAUGGUAAACCCAAGGAAAAAAAGUUAAUCAUGGUGCAGGUGAUUCCCGUUGUGGCAAGGAUGAUGUUCGAGAUGUUUUCAGGAGAGUUGUCAUUCGACAGUGGGAGUAUCUGUCUGCAAAUCUCGAAUCCAGACCUUAAGGACAAUGUGGUGUUUCAAUUUAAAGAACUUCAUCGAUUACUUCAGUCCCAGCAGGGCCAGGGACAGUGGCCAGUACAGCCUACCAAUCUACAAUGAUGUUACAAAGUGCCCAAGAGGAGAAUAUAAACAUUCCAGAAUGCUGCCAUGGUUCCCGGGCUGUAAUUCUAAAUUUGCUGCUGACAAGUUUUAAAAGAAAACCAGGAGUUGGAGCCUAAAGAGGCAGUAGACAAACCCUUACUUUAUGCUGUUUAAUGCUGGAACUCUGAGUGGGAACAUAUAAGACAAACAAGCUCCCUUUAUUCCUUUAAUACUGAUUUAUGCAUUUCCUUUUGUAUUAUUACCUUCUCUUUAAAGGAUCAAGGGCCGCUUCAUCCUGCUUCUAUCAGAUUGCAACAUAAUGGAUGGCAUAGCAACUACUCUGAGGCAACUCAUUCUUAAUCCUAAUUUUAAUAAAAAAAAGCACCUGUCAAUGAUUUAAGACCUCAGAUCUGGGUGUCUAAAGAUGACCAGUUUCCUUUCUAUUUAGAAGUCAUAGCUGACUAUGUUUACUUAUUGCGAUCUUUUGAGGAGAUUCGCUGUAUAUCACUUGUAUAAGUAACAGUAGUUGCUACUGUGAUGAUCAUUGAUUUGGAUUGGAAAAGCCUGCAGCAUUGCUAACGGUAGAAUCAGGAACCAUCCAUUUCCAGGUGUGUCACCAGUGUACUUACCUUCAAUACUUGCUAGUUUUUGAUUUAUAUAUUUCUGCAAAAUAAAUAUUUUCGGCUUUUUUAAAAA
Molecule: long non-coding RNA, 1366 nt
Organism: Rhincodon typus (whale shark)
Lineage: Eukaryota; Metazoa; Chordata; Chondrichthyes; Orectolobiformes; Rhincodontidae
Exons: 2
Source: RefSeq, a predicted model, not a curated record